Molecule: long non-coding RNA, 333 nt
Organism: Macrobrachium nipponense
Lineage: Eukaryota; Metazoa; Arthropoda; Malacostraca; Decapoda; Palaemonidae
Exons: 3
Source: RefSeq, a predicted model, not a curated record
AAGGAAACAGUUUUAUUGGAGCCUGGUGAGACUGCAACUUUCUCCUUCACUUUUGGGAACCAACAAGCAUCGAAGUACGUGGAAUACAAGAUCUCCAGAGCUAGAACUCUUUCUUCUUCUUAUUCAUCUCUGGUGUUCACCUGUGAUAUGAAGUCUCUGUGGAAUUCGUCAGACUGCAGCAAUGGAAAAGUGACGGUUGGUUAUGGACAGAAGACCUUAAGACUUUGCAGUGAGGCUCAUUCCUUGAAGGACGAACAAGCCGGAGGCUUUCUGAAGAUUUUGGUGAGAAUAAACUGCCGUCUUAUCAUGGAAACAUCCACUGCAGAAUUUACG